Molecule: ribosomal RNA, 2881 nt
Filed under: Sulfuritalea sp.
Lineage: Bacteria; Pseudomonadati; Pseudomonadota; Betaproteobacteria; Nitrosomonadales; Sterolibacteriaceae
Description: 23S ribosomal RNA
Rfam family: Bacterial large subunit ribosomal RNA
Source: RNAcentral
GAUCAAGCGACUAAGUGCACAUGGUGGAUGCCUUGGCGAUUACAGGCGAUGAAGGACGUAGUAGCCUGCGAAAAGCUACGGGGAGCUGGCAAACGAGCUUUGAUCCGUAGAUAUCCGAAUGGGGAAACCCACUCCGCAAGGAGUAUCCCCUGACUGAAUACAUAGGUCAGUGGAGGCGAACCGAGCGAACUGAAACAUCUAAGUAGCUCGAGGAACAGAAAUCAACCGAGAUUCCCUGAGUAGUGGCGAGCGAAAGGGGAACAGCCUGCAAGAGUUAACGUUCUGGUUAGUGGAACAGCCUGGAAAGGCUGGCCGUAGUGGGUGAUAGCCCCGUACGCGAAAGCCAGGAUGCGAGACUAAGCUUGCGACAAGUAGGGCGGGACACGUGAAAUCCUGUCUGAAUAUGGGGGGACCAUCCUCCAAGGCUAAAUACUCGUAAUCGACCGAUAGUGAACUAGUACCGUGAGGGAAAGGCGAAAAGAACCCCGGGAGGGGAGUGAAAUAGAUCCUGAAACCGCAUGCAUACAAACAGUGGGAGCCUCGCAAGGGGUGACUGCGUACCUUUUGUAUAAUGGGUCAGCGACUUACGUUCUGUAGCGAGCUUAACCGAAUAGGGGAGGCGUAGCGAAAGCGAGUCUGAUAAGGGCGCUUUAGUUGCAGGGCGUAGACCCGAAACCAGAUGAUCUACCCAUGGCCAGGAUGAAGGUGCGGUAACACGCACUGGAGGUCCGAACCCACUAAUGUUGAAAAAUUAGGGGAUGAGCUGUGGGUAGGGGUGAAAGGCUAAACAAAUCUGGAAAUAGCUGGUUCUCCCGAAAGCUAUUUAGGUAGCGCCUCAUGUAUCACUCGCGGGGGUAGAGCACUGUAAUGGUUGGAGGGGUCAUUGCGAUCUACUCCGCCAUAGCAAACUCCGAAUACCGUGAAGUGCGAGCAUGGGAGACAGACGGUGGGUGCUAACGUUCAUCGUCAAGAGGGAAACAACCCAGACCGCCAGCUAAGGUCCCCAAGCCAUGGUUAAGUGGAAAACGAAGUGGGAAGGCAUAGACAGUCAGGAAGUUGGCUUAGAAGCAGCCAUCCUUCAAAGAAAGCGUAAUAGCUCACUGAUCGAGUCGUCCUGCGCGGAAGAUGUAACGGGGCUCAAACCAUGCACCGAAGCUGCGGAUAUCCGUAAGGAUAUGGUAGGGGAGCGUUCUGUAGGUCUGCGAAGGUGUGGUGUAAACCAUGCUGGAGAUAUCAGAAGUGCGAAUGCUGACAUGAGUAGCGAUAAAGCGUGUGAAAAGCACGCUCGCCGAAAGCCCAAGGUUUCCUGCGCAACGUUCAUCGGCGCAGGGUGAGUCGGCCCCUAAGGCGAGGCCGAAAGGCGUAGUCGAUGGGAAACGGGUCAAUAUUCCCGUACCGAUCACAGAUGCGAUGGGGGGACGGAGAAGGUUAGGCAAGCCGGGUGUUGGAUGUCCCGGUUUAAGCGUGUAGGCGUGCUGCAUAGGCAAAUCCGUGCGGCUUAGCUGAGGCGUGAUGACGAGGAACUUCGGUUCUGAAGUUGCUGAUACCCUGCUUCCAGGAAAAGCCUCUAAGCUUCAGUCUGUGACGACCGUACCGCAAACCGACACAGGUGGGCAGGAUGAAAAUUCUAAGGCGCUUGAGAGAACUCAGGAGAAGGAACUCGGCAAAUUGAUACCGUAACUUCGGGAGAAGGUAUGCCCCGUUAGCUUGUAGGAGAACAUCCGAAGGGCGAAGGGGCCGCAGAGAAUCGGUGGCUGCGACUGUUUAUUAAAAACACAGCACUCUGCAAAGGCGAAAGCCGACGUAUAGGGUGUGACGCCUGCCCGGUGCCGGAAGGUUAAGUGAUGGGGUGCAAGCUCUUGAUCGAAGCCCCGGUAAACGGCGGCCGUAACUAUAACGGUCCUAAGGUAGCGAAAUUCCUUGUCGGGUAAGUUCCGACCUGCACGAAUGGCGUAAUGAUGGCCACACUGUCUCCUCCUGAGACUCAGCGAAGUUGAAAUGUUUGUGAAGAUGCAAUCUACCCGCGGCUAGACGGAAAGACCCCAUGAACCUUUACUGUAGCUUUGCAUUGGACUUUGACGGGACUUGUGUAGGAUAGGUGGGAGGCUGUGAGGCGUGGUCGCCAGAUCGCGCGGAGCCAACCUUGAAAUACCACCCUGGUGUCGUUGAGGUUCUAACCUUGGUCCGUGAAUCCGGAUCGGGGACCGUGCAUGGCAGGCAGUUUGACUGGGGCGGUUCUCCCAAAGAGUAACGGAGGAGUACGAAGGUCUUUAAGCACGGUCGGACAUCGUGCUCAUAGUGCAAUGGCAAAAGAAGGCUUGACUGCGAGACCCACAAGUCGAGCAGGUGCGAAAGCAGGUCAUAGUGAUCCGGUGGUUCUGUAUGGAAAGGGCCAUCGCUCAACGGAUAAAAGGUACUCUGGGGAUAACAGGCUGAUUCCGCCCAAGAGUUCAUAUCGACGGCGGAGUUUGGCACCCUCGAUGUCGGCUCAUCACAUCCUGGGGCUGCAGCCGGUCCCAAGGGUAUGGCUGUUCGCCAUUUAAAGUGGUACGUGAGCUGGGUUUAAAACGUCGUGAGACAGUUUGGUCCCUAUCUGCCGUGGGCGCUGGAUAUUUGAGGGGGCCUGCUCCUAGUACGAGAGGACCGGAGUGGACGGAUCUCUGGUGUACCGGUUGUCACGCCAGUGGCAUCGCCGGGUAGCUAAAUCCGGAAGAGAUAAACGCUGAAAGCAUCUAAGCGUGAAACUCGCCUCAAGAUGAGAUAUCCCGGGGGUUCAACCCCCCUGAAGGGUCGUCCAAGACCAGGACGUUGAUAGGUCGGGUGUGGAAGCGCAGCAAUGCGUUAAGCUAACUGAUACUAAUUGCCCGUGCGGCUUGACCCU